RNAcentral lists this long non-coding RNA (550 nucleotides) under Citrus sinensis (sweet orange). RNAcentral describes it as "long non-coding RNA (CSIN_LNC003665)". Lineage: Eukaryota; Viridiplantae; Streptophyta; Magnoliopsida; Sapindales; Rutaceae. The record is from RNAcentral.
AAACCUACAACAGUGAUACUCGCAUUACAAAAUAUAUUUUAUUGCAUCACACUUUUUUAUCAUUUAAAAAACUAGUUACAACGCUUGAGACUGGCUCCUGAAGCUCUUGCAAACACACAAACAUAAUCACAUCAAAUUAAACAGGGGGAAGGGAAGAAAACAAACACACACACACAUACAAACACACAAGGGCUUUGCUUUCGUACCAAAUUUAUUAGCAAACCAAAGACACUAUCUUGAAAACAUUUACAGUUAUCACUUAGCCAGAGAUCUCAAUAGCCUUAACUUCAGGUUUCUUCUCCUCCUGUUUAGGAACGGUGACUGUGAGCACACCAUUCUCCAUGCUGGCCUUAACCUGUUCCACCUUAGCAUUGUCGGGCAACCUGAACCUCCUCAGGAACUUGCCACUGCUCCUCUCGACGCGAUGCCACUUGUCAUUCUUCUCUUCCUGCUCCUUGCUCCUCUCUCCGCUUAUCUGCAGAAUCCUGCCCUCUUCAACCUCAACUUUUACUUCUUCUUUCCUCAGCCCUGGAAGAUCAGCUUUGAAUAC